Molecule: unclassified non-coding RNA, 301 nt
Filed under: uncultured fungus
Lineage: Eukaryota; Fungi
Description: partial contains 5.8S ribosomal RNA, internal transcribed spacer 2, and large subunit ribosomal RNA
Rfam family: 5.8S ribosomal RNA (bases 1-52)
Source: RNAcentral
AACGCACCUUGCGCUCUCUGGUAUUCCGGAGAGCAUGCCUGUUUGAGUGUCAUGAACUCUUCAACCCACCGGUUCCUUGCUGAACCGAGAUGGUGUUUGGAUUUUGAGCUUUGCUAUUUAUUUAGCUAGCUCGUAAUAUAUUAGCAUCUUUCAAUUUCAUAAUCGGAUUGACUCAGCGUAAUAGACUAUUCGCUGAGGACACUUUUACUAGUGGCCGGUAAUGAAGAUAGAGAAGCUUCUAACUCUUCUAGUCAACUUUAGAUUAGACCUCAAAUCAGGCAGGAUUACCCGCUGAACUUAA